RNAcentral lists this ribosomal RNA (475 nucleotides) under uncultured bacterium. Its description in RNAcentral is "bacterial SSU rRNA". It matches the Rfam family "Bacterial small subunit ribosomal RNA", at positions 26 to 518 of the family's 1533-position model. The record is from RNAcentral.
AGGACGAACGCUGGCGGCGUGCCUAACACAUGCAAGUCGAGCGAGGAGAUCCUUCGGGAUGAUCCUAGCGGCGGACGGGUGAGUAACACGUGGGCAACCUGCCUCAUAGAGAGGAAUAGCCUUCCGAAAGGGAGAUUAAUACCUCAUAACAUUGCAGUUUCGCGUGGAACAGCAAUUAAAGGAGUAAUCCGCUAUGAGAUGGGCCCGCGGCGCAUUAGCUAGUUGGUGAGGUAACGGCUCACCAAGGCGACGAUGCGUAGCCGACCUGAGAGGGUGAUCGGCCACAUUGGGACUGAGACACGGCCCAGACUCCUACGGGAGGCAGCAGUGGGGAAUAUUGCACAAUGGGGGAAACCCUGAUGCCAGCAACGCCGCGUGAGUGAUGACGGCCUUCGGGUUGUAAAGCUCUGUCUUCAGGGACGAUAAUGACGGUACCUGAGGAGGAAGCCACGGCUAACUACGUGCCAGCCGCCGC